AGAGUUUGAUCCUGGCUCAGGACGAACGCUGGCGGCGUGCCUAACACAUGCAAGUCGAACGGAGAUAUUUAUUUCGGUAGAUAUCUUAGUGGCGCACGGGUGAGUAACGCGUGAAUAACCUGACCCGAAGAGGGGGAUAACACCUGGAAACAAGUGCUAAUACCGCAUGAGACCACGGACCGGCAUCGGUCAGAGGUCAAAGGAGGAAUCCGCUUUGGGACGGGUUCGCGUCCCAUUAGGUAGUUGGUGAGGUAACGGCCCACCAAGCCG
RNAcentral lists this ribosomal RNA (270 nucleotides) under uncultured bacterium. RNAcentral describes it as "partial 16S ribosomal RNA". It matches the Rfam family "Bacterial small subunit ribosomal RNA", at positions 8 to 275 of the family's 1533-position model. The record is from RNAcentral.